RNAcentral lists this ribosomal RNA (512 nucleotides) under uncultured Bacteroidota bacterium. Its description in RNAcentral is "bacterial SSU rRNA". It matches the Rfam family "Bacterial small subunit ribosomal RNA", at positions 382 to 896 of the family's 1533-position model. The record is from RNAcentral. Lineage: Bacteria; Pseudomonadati; Bacteroidota.
ACUGAACCAGCCAUGCCGCGUGCAGGAAGAAGGCCUUCUGGGUUGUAAACUGCUUUGCCGGGGGAUAAAAUUCUCAUGCGUGGGAAAUUGAAGGUACCCGGUGAAUAAGCCACGGCUAACUACGUGCCAGCAGCCGCGGUAAUACGUAGGUGGCAAGCGUUGUCCGGAUUUAUUGGGUUUAAAGGGUGCGUAGGCGGCCUAUUAAGUCAGUUCUGAAAUAUCCCGGCUUAACCGGGGGGGUGGGAUUGAUACUGAUGGGCUUGAGUGGACUCGAGGUAGGCGGAAUUGACGGUGUAGCGGUGAAAUGCUUAGAUAUCGUCAAGAACACCGAUAGUGUAGACAGCUUACUAGAGUCUAACUGACGCUGAGGCACGAAAGUGUGGGGAUCAAACAGGAUUAGAUACCCUGGUAGUCCACACUGUAAACGUUGAUUACUCGCUGUGUGCGAUAUACAGUACGCGGCUUAGCGAAAGCGAUAAGUAAUCCACCUGGGGAGUACGCCGGCAACGGUG